AUACGGAGGGUGCAAGCGUUAUCCGGAAUCAUUGGGUUUAAAGGGUCCGCAGGCGGUCAAUUAAGUCAGAGGUGAAAUCCCAUAGCUCAACUAUGGAACUGCCUUUGAUACUGGUUGACUUGAGUUAUACGGAAGUAGAUAGAAUGUGUAGUGUAGCGGUGAAAUGCAUAGAGAUUACACAGAAUACCGAUUGCGAAGGCAGUCUACUACGUAUAUACUGACGCUCAUGGACGAAAGCGUGGGGAGCGAACAGGAUUAGAAACCCCAGUAGUCC
RNAcentral lists this ribosomal RNA (274 nucleotides) under uncultured bacterium. RNAcentral describes it as "partial 16S ribosomal RNA". It matches the Rfam family "Bacterial small subunit ribosomal RNA", at positions 523 to 796 of the family's 1533-position model. The record is from RNAcentral.